AGAAGAGUUUUAGACAUGCAGCAUGCACCGGAGAGAGGAGCUAAUAAGCUCAAGGCGUCCCGGAGCUGGACCGGGACAGCCAGAAGGAAUGCGGAGGGGGUGACAUUGUGUCCCCCCCCCCGCUGCUGUUGCUAAGCUGGCAGCCUGAGACAGAGCACAGGAGCUCUGA
Molecule: long non-coding RNA, 169 nt
Organism: Neopelma chrysocephalum (saffron-crested tyrant-manakin)
Lineage: Eukaryota; Metazoa; Chordata; Aves; Passeriformes; Pipridae
Exons: 3
Source: RefSeq, a predicted model, not a curated record